GAGUAACUGAUGCACUUUUUACCUUUUUGAUCAAUGAAAGUCCAAGUUAUACUUGCAGUUAAAGCCUUUGGUUCCAUUUAUUUCCAUGAGAUCUUAAAGGUUUCCACACAAAU
This is a long non-coding RNA of Etheostoma spectabile (orangethroat darter), 113 nucleotides long. RefSeq lists it as uncharacterized. The record is from RefSeq and is a predicted model, not a curated record. The transcript has 3 exons. Lineage: Eukaryota; Metazoa; Chordata; Actinopteri; Perciformes; Percidae.